UACGGAGGAUGCGAGCGUUAUCCGGAUUUAUUGGGUUUAAAGGGUGCGCAGGCGGCACGGCAAGCCGGCGGUCAAAUCGCGGGGCUCAACCCCGCCCAGCCGUCGGAACUGCCGGGCUAGAGUGGGCGAGAAGUGCGCGGAAUGCGUGGUGUAGCGGUGAAAUGCAUAGAUAUCACGCAGAACUCCGAUUGCGAAGGCAGCGCACCAGCGCCCUACUGACGCUCAGGCACGAAAGCGUGGGUAUCGAACAGG
This 252-nucleotide ribosomal RNA is filed under the name uncultured bacterium. RNAcentral's name for it is "partial 16S ribosomal RNA". It matches the Rfam family "Bacterial small subunit ribosomal RNA", at positions 524 to 776 of the family's 1533-position model. The record is from RNAcentral.